RNAcentral lists this long non-coding RNA (332 nucleotides) under Gouania willdenowi (blunt-snouted clingfish). Its description in RNAcentral is "lncRNA (ENSGWIG00000003872.1)". The record is from RNAcentral. Lineage: Eukaryota; Metazoa; Chordata; Actinopteri; Blenniiformes; Gobiesocidae.
UCGUCGUCUGAAGAAUCUCAAAGCACACCAUGAUGUAUGUGAUAGACGCUAUAACGAAGCGCAAACAAAGAGGUUAAAACUCAAUAGAGACAGCAAUCUGGUUCUACACAACAACCAGAACACGAUGAGAGCUGAUGAGUGCUCAAGCAACAGUGAUAGCACCAUUGACCUCACACCACCUGAUGUAGACGACAACCAUGAGGACAUGGACACUGACCAGGCAAAUACUAAGGAAAAAAGAGCUGAAGCAGCAUAAAUCAUCCAACCACAGAAACAAAGACGGAAGACAUGUUCGGUGACCAAAAAAGGCAAUGCAGAGGCCUCCUUGCAUG